AUUGAACGCUGGCGGUAUGCUUAACACAUGCAAGUCGAACGGUAGCAGGCCUUCGGGCGCUGACGAGUGGCGGACGGGUGAGUAACGCGUAGGAAUCUGCCUCAUAGUGGGGGACAACGUGGGGAAACUCACGCUAAUACCGCAUACGCCCUACGGGGAAAGCGGGGGAUCUUCGGACCUCGCGCUAUGAGAUGAGCCUGCGUUAGAUUAGCUAGUUGGUAGGGUAAAGGCCUACCAAGGCGACGAUCUAUAGCUGGUCUGAGAGGACGAUCAGCCACACUGGGACUGAGACACGGCCCCAGACUCCUACGGGAGGCAGCAGUGGGGAAUAUUGGACAAUGGGGGCAACCCUGAUCCAGCCAUGCCGCGUGAGUGAAGAAGGCCUGGUGUAAGA
Molecule: ribosomal RNA, 394 nt
Filed under: uncultured bacterium
Lineage: Bacteria
Description: bacterial SSU rRNA
Rfam family: Bacterial small subunit ribosomal RNA
Source: RNAcentral